Molecule: small nucleolar RNA, 64 nt
Organism: Vombatus ursinus (common wombat)
Lineage: Eukaryota; Metazoa; Chordata; Mammalia; Diprotodontia; Vombatidae
Source: Ensembl
UGACAAUGAUGCACAGAAUUUCUUCGCCUGAAAAGACCGUGUAGUAAUAUUGACCCUGAGACAA